Leptopilina boulardi is the source of this 398-nucleotide long non-coding RNA. RefSeq lists it as uncharacterized. NCBI's taxonomy places the organism in Eukaryota, Metazoa, Arthropoda, Insecta, Hymenoptera, Figitidae. The record is from RefSeq and is a predicted model, not a curated record. The transcript has 2 exons.
UUUUCAAUGAGCUACGAUUCUUUUUAUGUAUAUUUAAAAAAGUUUAUCUACAUGCACUUAAAAAAAGUAUUUUUUUUAAUUAAUAUUAUGUUAUUUUACAAUUAUUCUUCAAAUUCUUUAUUGGAUCCCAGUGAAUAUCAUCGGCAAUAUCAUUCGGAAAAUUUGGCUAAAAGAAUUUGCAAUGGCAGAUAUAUUACAAUAUCCUUCAAAAUGAUGUGUUAUAUAAAUGAAGGUGAAAAUAUUGUUUAUGAACCGCGCAAGGAUAUUCGUUACAAAUGUAGAAAACCAGUAACUAAUGAAAAGAUUUUUUUUGGAAUUUAGUUUUUUUUGUAUUAAAAAUUAGUUAAUUUUAUUUUAUAAAUCAUUAAAUAUAUAUUUCUGAGAUUAAAAACUAAUAA